CACCGCCUGGGGAGUACGACCGCAAGGUUAAAACUCAAAUGAAUUGACGGGGACCCGCACAAGUAGUGGAGCAUGUGGUUUAAUUCGAAGAUACGCGCAGAACCUUACCAACACUUGACAUGUUUGUCGCGACUUUAAGAGAUUAAAGUCUUCGGUUCGGCCGGACAAAACACAGGUGCUGCAUGGCUGUCGUCAGCUCGUGUCGUGAGAUGUUGGGUUAAGUCCCGCAACGAGCGCAACCCUCACUUUUAGUUGCCAUCAUUUAGUUGGGCACUCUGAAAGAACUGCCGGUGAUAAGCUGGAGGAAGGUGGGGAUGACGUCAAGUCCUCAUGGCCCUUACGUGUUGGGCUACACACGUGCUACAAUGGCAUUUACAAUAGGAAGCAAGAUGGCGACAUCAAGCAAAUCCUAAAAAGGUGCCUCAGUUCGGAUUGUACUCUGCAACUCGAGUACAUGAAGCUGGAAUUACUAGUAAUCGCGGAUCAGCGCGCCGCGGUGAAUACGUUCCCGGGUCUUGUACACACCGCCCGUCACACCAUGGGAGUUGGUUCUACCUUAAGGCAAAGUUUAAUACCUUUGACCACGGUAUAGUCAGCGACUGGGGUGAAGUCGUAACAAGGUAGCCGUAGGGGAACCUGCGGCUGGAUUACCUCCUUUCUAAGGAUGAUUAAGGAAUUUUUCUUAAUCUAAAUAAUUAACAGGUUAAUGUUGACCGUCCUCAUUUCUCUUCUUUAAAUCAAAGUGUUACUUUGACUAAAAUGGGCCGGUAGCUCAGUUGGUUAGAGCACACCCUUGAUAAGGGUGGGGUCGAAAGUUCGAGUCUUUCUCGGCCCACCAUAGUUUUUAAAACUGGGGGAUUAGCUCAGCUGGGAGAGCGCCUGAUUUGCAUUCAGGAGGUCAGCGGUUCGAUCCCGCUAUCCUCCACCAGUAACACUUAGUUAUUUUAAUUGUAAAUAUUUAUAUAAUAUCAAUAUCUAUAUCCGAUUGUUCGAAUAGAUGAACAAUCAAUAUGUUUAAUUGCUAAUGUUAAACAUUCAAAAAUUUGAUCCAACACAGAAUUUUUUUCUG
This 1069-nucleotide small RNA is filed under the name uncultured Pelagibacterales bacterium. RNAcentral's name for it is "bacterial SSU rRNA". The stretch from base 1 to 658 matches the Rfam family "Bacterial small subunit ribosomal RNA", at positions 867 to 1533 of the family's 1533-position model. Lineage: Bacteria; Pseudomonadati; Pseudomonadota; Alphaproteobacteria; Candidatus Pelagibacterales. The record is from RNAcentral.